RNAcentral lists this ribosomal RNA (492 nucleotides) under uncultured bacterium. Its description in RNAcentral is "partial 16S ribosomal RNA". It matches the Rfam family "Bacterial small subunit ribosomal RNA", at positions 29 to 507 of the family's 1533-position model. The record is from RNAcentral.
AGUGAACGCUGGCGGUAUGCCUAACACAUGCAAGUCGAACGGCAGCACAGUAAGAGCUUGCUCUUACGGGUGGCGAGUGGCGGACGGGUGAGGAAUACAUCGGAAUCUACUUUUUCGUGGGGGAUAACGUAGGGAAACUUACGCUAAUACCGCAUACGACCUACGGGUGAAAGCAGGGGAUCUUCGGACCUUGCGCGAUUGAAUGAGCCGAUGUCGGAUUAGUUAGUUGGCGGGGUAAAGGCCCACCAAGGCGACGAUCCGUAGCUGGUCUGAGAGGAUGAUCAGCCACACUGGAACUGAGACACGGUCCAGACUCCUACAGGAGGCCGCAGCGGGGAAUAUUGGACAAUGGGCACAAGCCUGAUCCAGCCAUACCGCGUGGGUGAAGAAGGCCUUCGGGUUGUAGAGCCCUUUUGUUGGGAAAGAAAAGCAGCAGGUUAAUACCCCGCUGUUCUGACGGUACCCAAAGAAUAAGCACCGGCUAACUUCGUG